Non-coding RNA from Pelobates cultripes (western spadefoot toad), 207 nucleotides. The record is from the annotation of a GenBank genome assembly. NCBI's taxonomy places the organism in Eukaryota, Metazoa, Chordata, Amphibia, Anura, Pelobatidae.
GAGACAUGGAGGAGGCCGUAAGAGGGCAACAACCCAGCAGCAGGACCGCUACCUCCACCUUUGUGCAAGGAGGAACAGGAGGAGCACUGCCAGAGUCCUGCAAAAUGACCUCCAGCAGGCCACAAAUGUGCAUGUGUCUGCUCAAACGGUCAGAAACAGACUCCAUGAGGGUGGUAUGAGGGCCCGACGUCCACAGGUGGGGGUUGU